GACGAACGCUGGCGGCGUGCUUAACACAUGCAAGUCACGGGGCAGCAAUGGCAACCGGCGAACGGGUGCGUAACACGUGAGCAACUUACCGAUCUGAGGGGGGAUAGCCGGCCCAACGGCCGGGUAAUACCGCAUUCGCUCUUUGGGUGGAGUCACCUGAAGAGGAAACCUCCGGGGCAGAUCGAGGGGCUCGCGGCCUAUCAGCUAGUUGGUGUGGGUAAACGGCCCACCAAGGCUAUGACGGGUAGCUGGUCUGAGAGGAUGGCCAGCCACAUUGGGACUGACACACGGUCCAGACUCCUACGGGUGGCUG
This 313-nucleotide ribosomal RNA is filed under the name uncultured Gemmatimonadota bacterium. RNAcentral describes it as "bacterial SSU rRNA". It matches the Rfam family "Bacterial small subunit ribosomal RNA", at positions 28 to 351 of the family's 1533-position model. Lineage: Bacteria; Pseudomonadati; Gemmatimonadota. The record is from RNAcentral.